ACCAAAAUGAGUUUGACACCCCUGGGUUACUAUAUGUUGUUUUUUUUUUAAAGAAAGGCUGUCAUCAUUUACCAGCAAGUUACCGGUCACUUAAAUAAGCCAAAAAAACUCUAUCAACCAGCAGACACAGCUUGUCAUUUUCACACAUCUAUUUGGAUUCAACAAACUCACUGUGUGAAUAAUGAGUCUCGUACUAAGCUAAGCUAACUUAAUGCAGUAGUUUAAUAUUUAACAGGUAGUUACGAGAACGGCCUGAUUUUUUUUUUUUUUUUUUUCAACCAGUUCUGUGUUGAAACUUUUUUCCUUUUCUUGACUCACUUCACAGCAUGUCAUUAGCGUUUUUGAGAUGAAACCAGAUCGACGGCUCACAUCAAUUAAAAAAAACAAAAAAAAACAAAAAAACAAAACAAAGACAGUCACUCUGCAAAGCCUUUCUUUAAAGUGGAAAUGUGUAGUUCCACCAAACACUGCAGCUAUUGUUUACAUUAACCUCCCGUCUCCAUCUAUCGACGACAACGUGCCUGUCACUGCUUUUACCUGUCGUAUAGUUUGGUCUCGCAGGCUGUUAAUAAAGCAGACACCAUGGACAAAAACCUGCCUGAAAAUGUCAACUCGCAGCAUUUUUCUAUGAAGAUUAGCUUUGUUUCCCAACCAAGAAUUCUUUUGUUUUUAUUAUUAUUGUUAUUAUUUCUGCAUUUAAUAAGACUUGUUUACUCUCAGUGAAUGUCAGUGACUCUGUACUAUCAGCUUGUUGCUCUUAUCUGUGUGAUUAUGUGCAUGCUGAUGCUCCCACACACUGAUUACUCUCUUACUGAUCUAAAUGGAUUCAGUGCAUGGCUGCAAUUUGUUUCCACCAAAAUUACUGACAAGCUCAAUCAGGAUGCUGCAAACUGUGUCACAUCCUGAUUGCUCUGAUCCGCUGUGUGGCAAAAAAUGCAGGAUGUAUAGAGUAUACAUCCAUCUUGUCUUUUAUAUUGAAAUAUUUGUUUUAAAUCAAGAAAACGAAUCAAACCUCAUUAGGAGUGCACGUGGCAGUGAAGUACACGUUAUAUGAGAUUGGUGUGUUACUCCUGGAAACCACAGGUGUAAAACUAUCCCCAUGUCAAUGAGGAAUGAGUGCUGCACAGAAAAGCAGAAAGAGGAUCCGGCUUUGAAAUAUUGAUGAGGCAAUAUCUUUGUGCUGCGAGAGAAAUCCAGUUUUAAAGGGUCCAGGAGGGACACGUCUCUUGUAAUGGUGAAUAUGCUUCUCUGUGCUUUUUUUUUUUUUUUAGAGUGUUGCUUUUGUAAGUGCUGGAGUCAGAGUGGUGUAAUAAAUAUUGCCUUACCAAAAUCUGCCACCCUGCCAAGCCCAAAGACUCUCAACCAUGGUGUUCGACAAAACGAAAGAGAGCUGAGCUGGCGUCCACAGAAUCUGACUCCUCCUGUUCAGUUUUCACCAGGCCCUGUGUCUGAUGAUGACGACUGGAUGAAUCUAAAGACUCCAACGUCCUAAAUGUACUGUACUUGAAGGCUGAGUGAGGUCUGUCAGCGAGUGUUUGUAUCCACCGUGUAAAGCUACAACUCUGUCGUCCACUGUGAAACUCCUGGGACACACACUGAAGGACUUUAAAUCAUCUUUUAAA
Long non-coding RNA from Sphaeramia orbicularis (orbiculate cardinalfish), 1622 nucleotides. RefSeq lists it as uncharacterized. The transcript is spliced from 2 exons. The record is from RefSeq and is a predicted model, not a curated record. NCBI's taxonomy places the organism in Eukaryota, Metazoa, Chordata, Actinopteri, Kurtiformes, Apogonidae.